RNAcentral lists this ribosomal RNA (436 nucleotides) under uncultured bacterium. RNAcentral's name for it is "partial 16S ribosomal RNA". It matches the Rfam family "Bacterial small subunit ribosomal RNA", at positions 28 to 506 of the family's 1533-position model. The record is from RNAcentral.
GAUGAACGCUGGCGGCAUGCUUAACACAUGCGAGUCGAACGGGAAGUGGUGUUUCCAGUGGCGAACGGGUGAGUAACGCGUAAGAACCUGCCCUUGGGAGGGGAACAACAACUGGAAACGGUUGCUAAUACCCCGUAGGCUGAGGAGCAAAAGGAGAAAUCCGCCCAAGGAGGGGCUCGCGUCUGAUUAGCUAGUUGGUGAGGUAAUAGCUUACCAAGGCGAUGAUCAGUAGCUGGUCCGAGAGGAUGAUCAGCCACACUGGGACUGAGACACGGCCCAGACUCCUACGGGAGGCAGCAGUGGGGAAUUUUCCGCAAUGGGCGAAAGCCUGACGGAGCAAUGCCGCGUGGAGGUGGAAGGCCUACGGGUCGUCAACUUCUUUUCUCGGAGAAGAAACAAUGACGGUAUCUGAGGAAUAAGCAUCGGCUAACUCUGU